GCAAGUCGAACGGUCUUUCUAUGGAAGCUUGCUUCCACUGAGAAGAUAGUGGCGAACGGGUGAGUAACACGUGGGUAACCUGCCCAUAAGAGGGGGGAUAACAUCCGGAAACGGGUGCUAAUACCGCAUAGUUUUCUUGAUCGCAUGAUCGGGAAAGGAAAGACGGCCUUUGUGCUGUCGCUUAUGGAUGGACCCGCGGCGUAUUAGUUAGUUGGUGAGGUAACGGCUCACCAAGACGAUGAUACGUAGCCGACCUGAGAGGGUGAUCGGCCACAUUGGGACUGAGACACGGCCCAAACUCCUACGGGAGGCAGCAGUAGGGAAUCUUCCGCAAUGGACGAAAGUCUGACGGAGCAACGCCGCGUGAGUGAAGAAAAGGUUUUCGGAUCGUAAAACUCUGUUGUCAGAGAAGAACAAGUUGGAGAGUAACUGCUCCAGCCUUGACGGUAUCUGACCAGAAAGCCACGGCUAACUACGUGCCAGCAGCGGC
This 490-nucleotide ribosomal RNA is filed under the name uncultured bacterium. Its description in RNAcentral is "bacterial SSU rRNA". It matches the Rfam family "Bacterial small subunit ribosomal RNA", at positions 57 to 518 of the family's 1533-position model. The record is from RNAcentral.